Molecule: small nuclear RNA, 286 nt
Organism: Drosophila kikkawai
Lineage: Eukaryota; Metazoa; Arthropoda; Insecta; Diptera; Drosophilidae
Product: U11 spliceosomal RNA
Source: RefSeq, a predicted model, not a curated record
AAAAAGGGCGCUCGUCCUGGCACGUUCCCGAUCACGGAGCUCAAGUGCAGACGCAUUGCGCCGCAGGAGCGUCUCCUUCGCUGCCCCCUCUUACCAGGGGGGUGGCGGGGGCGUGCGUUCAAUUGCCGCCUUUGGCUCCUUGCGCGCCCAGUGGGGUAUGGCUUUGCAUAUCCAGUGCGUAAUUUUUGUCUUUGGGGCAGGCGGCUGCACCUCGAAUGGGUCCGCUUGGAUUGCUCGGGGAUUCACAGUCUCCCUGCGUGCCAGUGGUCCUGUGCGCUGCGCCCCG